GGGUUGUGAGGUUAAGCGACUAAGCGUACACGGUGGAUGCCCUGGCAGUCAGAGGCGAUGAAGGACGUGCUAAUCUGCGAUAAGCGUCGGUAAGGUGAUAUGAACCGUUAUAACCGGCGAUUUCCGAAUGGGGAAACCCAGUGUGAUUCGUCACACUAUCAUUAACUGAAUCCAUAGGUUAAUGAGGCGAACCGGGGGAACUGAAACAUCUAAGUACCCCGAGGAAAAGAAAUCAACCGAGAUUCCCCCAGUAGCGGCGAGCGAACGGGGAGGAGCCCAGAGCCUGAAUCAGUGUGUGUGUUAGUGGAAGCGUCUGGAAAGGCGCGCGAUACAGGGUG
This 338-nucleotide ribosomal RNA is filed under the name Escherichia coli. Its description in RNAcentral is "bacterial LSU rRNA". It matches the Rfam family "Bacterial large subunit ribosomal RNA", at positions 1 to 366 of the family's 2925-position model. Lineage: Bacteria; Pseudomonadati; Pseudomonadota; Gammaproteobacteria; Enterobacterales; Enterobacteriaceae. The record is from RNAcentral.